Molecule: long non-coding RNA, 3751 nt
Organism: Mytilus californianus (California mussel)
Lineage: Eukaryota; Metazoa; Mollusca; Bivalvia; Mytilida; Mytilidae
Exons: 5
Source: RefSeq, a predicted model, not a curated record
GGGGUCCACUAUGCGCUUCAACUUUGUCAUCAUUAUGCACUUAUACCAGUUCAUUAAUACGUUUAUCUUUAUUUAAAAGUAUAUCAUGAGGAUAAACACGUUGUUUGUCAUACAGUUUACAAAUGUUCUUUGUCUAUAUAAAUAAGAAGCCACUAUGUAUAAAAAGUUAACAAUUUCAGGUCAAAGACUUGUCUUCAACACCGCUUAGAGCAAGCUAUAAAGGGCCACAAAAGACUAAUGUUAAACAUUUCAAACAGAAAAAAAUCAACGUUCUAAUUUAUAAUUUAUAUAAAAAAGGAGAAACAAGAAACAUAUAUGAACCACAUCAACAAACGGCAACCAUUGAACAACAGGCUCCUAUAUAAGGACAGAUGCAUAUAAAUGCAGCAAGUUAUUACCAUAUAUUGUUCUCCAUUAGAUUAUGUAUAAACCUUCGGGAUCUAUUAUCCACAAAAAAAUUACAAUAAGAAAUAAUGUUUGAUUUGCGAGCAAUCUGUAAAUAAGGGCAAAAAUAGUAUACCGUUGUUCAAAAGUCAUAAAUCGAUUGACAAAAACAAAUCCGGGUUACAAACCAGAACCGAAGGAAACGCAUCAACCAUAAGAGGGAAACAAAGGAACAACAGGAACUCAGACGUUCAACAAAAACAAACGUCAGCACACAUAGAAAGGAACUAUUUGGCAACAACUGCCAUAUUCCUGACUUGGUACAUGACAUUUUAAGAUAAAUGGUGAUGUGAACCUGGUUAUUGGCGUGCAAAACCUGCCGCUUUAUGACAAUGUUAAAAAAAUAUCGCUAAAACACUACGUGACAGAAACACAGCACAAACACUCGCAAGAACAUUCAUAACAGUGAAACGCACAAACAAAUAAUUUAAUAGUAGACACAACAUACAAACCACAGAACAACAACGAACAUAUUCUAUCAACGACAAACGCCACAGGUUAUCAAAAACAGUGACGCGCUUACAUAACUAACAUGCAAUUUCGAACUAUAUACAAUUAUUUUAUGUUAAAACAAAUUUAAACGGAUAAUCAUUAAAAUGAUUAAACUUCACGUAUAUUGACCAAUAAUAUGACAUUAACUUUUGUCAAAGGGGACUGGAUACAAACAACUCACUAUCCUUAAGUAUGGAUUACCGAGAGAAAAUGUCCAAUUUAUAACCUUUCAAAAUUUUAACGAUAAAUUUCAACGAUUUCAAAAUGCAAAUUUAGUACAAGAAGUUCUUGUGAAAGAGAAGCAUCGACCAAAGCAAUAAACCAAAGAUCAGAAAUAAAGAUAUAAUUCAUUCUGAAUUGAAAUAUAUAUAUAUUCACUGAUUUGUACAAAUAUGUAAAACAACAUAUAGGGACAAUAAUGCAAAUACAGUACAAAGUAUCCAGAUGCUACACACAAGAAAGACAUUAUUUGAAAAUGUAAAAUAUAUCGGGUAACAAAAAAAAAUGAAAUUAAUGCCAUGAGCAAUUUCCAUAUGAAAUCGGGUCCAUGUCUAGAAAUACAAUUCGGUAAUUAGUUUCGGACGUAACAACAACUAUUUCAUCUUGUUACUUUAUGUGAGUGCAAUGGUCCCCAGUGCCUGUGUAUUAUGUGUAUGUACUUUUUCGUGUACAAUUUAAUCAAACAAUUUUACAACUUAGAUUUUCUACUUGUGUUUUGUGACGUUUUUUCAUCAGGAUAAUUAACUAAUAAACAAUGGAUAUUACGUAUUUGUUUCAGAAAACAGAGAUGUAAAAUUUCACGUUUCUUGCAAAAAAGAAACAUGUGAACAAAAUUUGAAAAACAUAAGGAUGAUAGCUGCAAAAUACAUGGGUGUUGAUAUACAUUCGGUUUCAAUUACGAGGUUGCGAGGUCACAAAUAGCUUUUUGGUUACAUUAUUUGUUCCUGAAGUAUGAGUAGAUUUCCUAUUGAAAUAUGAUUCUACUGGACAGCUGUCAUUUCUGUGCCCUGUAAUAGAAUUUUCAUGGUGGACGACAAGAUAUUUUAAUGGAAGAAAGUAUGUUUUUUAAUAUAGUGGCCAAAUAGAUGAAGCAUGAAUUGUUUUAAUAUAGCUGACGUGUUUUUCAAUUGCAUUUAGUAAGAUUCUGAAAUAUGAAAUAGUUUGUGAUACAUAAGAAUCAUUUAUAGAUUCUAUUAGUGGCCACAAGUUUCAGUUACGGUUAUCUUUUUUUUUCUCACUCAUCAUGCAUUCAAGAUUGACUAGUACAAUUUAUUACAAAGUGUUUACAUGUAAAUUAAUAUACACAUUUAAGUGCAGGAUGUGAUUACACAUGUUACAGUUGAUAAACUGAAAACACAUGUUACUGGAGUUUCAUCCCAUGGACAAAACAACAUGUUCACCUUUCUUGUCUGACAAUGACUAUCUAUGAUGAUUCUUAGCAAGACUUAACAAACUAUGUGGAUUAAGCAUUCAUGCGAGUUGGACAUUUACACGUGGAUGCUGCUUUCAGGUGAAUAGAUGAAACUCUACAAAGGAGUAAUGCUGAAACUAUUCCUCGUCUUGAAGUAUUGUUCCCAAACAUAAAGGAUUUUGACGUAAUUUACGACAUACGUUCAUAGAUUAUAUGAAUACAUUAUGAUAUUGAGAACCAUGCUAAACCUCUGCAUUAUAAGUCUAUCCGGGAUUUAGCAACGAGUAUUUGGAAAAUACAAAGCAAUACAAAGCUUUUUGGGAUGGCGAAAAAGAUAACAGACCAUGGUACAAUUAAAAUAAUUUUAAGGAAGGCCCAUUUAACAAAGACAAUGCUUAGUUCUAGAAGAUCUACAUAAAGAUCUACAUAAAUAAACUAAAAUCGAGAUUACCAUAGUUGUGAUGUCUAUUCGAUUAUCAAAUUGAACAUACGUCAAAACAGUGUAAGGGCGGAUUUCUCGCACACCUAGAAUAACAUAGAGACAGUUUCCACUCAGAUGGAUAAAAGUUAUUCUAAAGACAAAAUGAAAUAUUUCGUUGUUGCCAAACAGCAAUCAGAAACAAGGGACCUCCGGUGAUCAAGACAUUUCAUCACAGUUAUGGAGAUUAUUCGAAAAUAGGAAGAGGAAUGUUCUUUGCAAGUGUAACCAAACAAUCACAAAAGGACACAAAAAGGGAAAUGAAAAGACCCAGAAGGCACUACAAAAGACAUAUCAAUGACACGAGAGAAAUAUAUACACAGAGAUUGCAAUUGGCAACUGUAACAGUGGUCAGCGAAAUCUAAUUGAAAACACGCAUCCUACGAUGAGACUUUAACGAGAGCGUUGAUAGCCAUUUUGUAACAUCAACGAAAGUUCGCAACUGCCACUCGAUAGUAAUUUUACAUGAAGCAUUUCAAAACAGCAUAAUGAUCCUGUUUUAAAUAAACAAAGUUUUUGAUCAAAUUUGCCUAACAGUGCAGCAUACAAGAGAUGUAGUAACAAGUGAUGAAUGCAGGAUUCCCAAUUCUUUCUGUUUGAAAAUAAGACUCACUGGCAGACAGAAAUAACUUUUAGUGAUUACUUUUUCCAAUUAUGACAACACAGUCAUGACAGUCAUGUAGUGGACCGAUUACUACUCCUAUCAAUAUGAUACUUAAAAAAGGUUUUGUAAGAUAGAAGAUAUCAGGUGCUCAUCCUGACUGUGAAAACACCAUAUUAUUGUAGUUCAUAUGCUAAACUUGAUUUACACGUGUAUGCAAUUUUUGUGUAAUUGACAUCAUUGAACUAAAAACAAAUACAAGACUCUCAUUCAAUCUAUUGAAUUUGAAGCGGAAGUGGAACAGGGGCAGUUGUGCAGAGACUAU